AGAGCCAUAGAGUUUUCAAAUUUUUUAGUGUAAUUACCAAAGGGCAACAAAACAACCUAGAGAAGCUUCUGUUAUGAUCAAUUUNNUGCAGUNUAUAUUGUUUGCUACUCUCAGGAAUUACUUNUCUACUACAAUUUUGCCCUUCUCANAUCAUGUGGUUAAUUUAUACUUUAUGUUUCUAUUCUUGGACUAGAUUUAGCCUAGCAGACACACUCCUUCAAUUUCCAUACAUACUUUUCAUUUAUUUAUCACUAUCUUUUCUUUAUAUCAUGUGGGAAUGGUGACGUUUCGUCACACUUGAGAAGUUUCAAACACACCAGACUAUACAAUUUGGAACUCCCAACUCUAAGCAGCAUGGUCCAUAACCACCUAGGUCGGUGAAAAGUAAGAACCCUCUUAGCUAGCUUUGUAG
RNAcentral lists this long non-coding RNA (412 nucleotides) under Vigna radiata. RNAcentral describes it as "long non-coding RNA (VRAD_LNC009060)". Lineage: Eukaryota; Viridiplantae; Streptophyta; Magnoliopsida; Fabales; Fabaceae. The record is from RNAcentral.